This 254-nucleotide ribosomal RNA is filed under the name uncultured bacterium. RNAcentral describes it as "partial 16S ribosomal RNA". It matches the Rfam family "Bacterial small subunit ribosomal RNA", at positions 524 to 777 of the family's 1533-position model. The record is from RNAcentral.
UACGUAGGGACCAAGCGUUGUCCGGAAUCAUUGGGCGUAAAGAGCGUGUAGGCGGCUUGUUAAGUCUUGCGUGAAAUCUCGGGGCUCAACCCCGAGCGGUCGUGAGAAACUGGCAGGCUAGAGUGCGGGAGAGGAGAGUGGAAUUCCUGGUGUAGCGGUGGAAUGCGCAGAUAUCGGGAGGAACACCGAUGGCGAAGGCAGUUCUCUGGGCCGUAACUGACGCUGAGGAGCGAAAGCAUGGGGAGCGAACGGGG